AAGUACUCUUGAACAGCAUGGAUCAUUUCUAUAGUACCUUCUUUUCUACUUGACUUUCCUAGUAGACAACCUCCUUAACUUUGAUGAUCGCAUUCGACUUCAUGCAUUGACUCGGGAUGUCGGUGGUAGUGCUGUGCUCUCUUUGGGACUGGCCUCCUCCGUUGAUGAACGUCCGCUGUCGUUAUUCCAAGACGGCGUGAGUGUGUGAAGUGAUAUGAGAAGU
Non-coding RNA from Hyaloperonospora arabidopsidis Emoy2, 223 nucleotides. The record is from Rfam. NCBI's taxonomy places the organism in Eukaryota, Oomycota, Peronosporomycetes, Peronosporales, Peronosporaceae.